GCGUAUUUUGCCCAGGCGGAGCUCGACCGCCCGUUUCGCAAGUGACUGCUUUCAUUGAAGAACAUCGCGGUGAGUUCGGGGUCGAGCCGAUGUGCAAAAUGCUGCAAAUCGCCC
Molecule: non-coding RNA, 114 nt
Filed under: marine eukaryotic metagenome
Description: ALIL pseudoknot
Rfam family: ALIL pseudoknot
Source: RNAcentral